GAGCUGCUGCCCUGCCUGCAGCCUGCCACGGGAGUAGGAGCAUCCCAGCCUCUCCCUCUGUCCCCUCCAGCCAGAGAAGUUGGGAAUAAUUCCCGCGGCCAAUAAAACAAGUGGCAGAGAUGGACAGUGUUACUUAAAUAAACAAGGGUCUCUUUAAAAUUCUCAUCCACUUCAGAUGUCUAAAGUAAGAUUGUGAUGAUUUUGUCACGGUUUGGUAAAUUUACCCCUUUAAGAGGCUUUCAUAAAUCCCAGAACACACCUUCAGCCAGAUUUGAAUAUAGAUUUAGGUUUUAAAACCCAGAAGCUGGGAACACCGCUUUAUCAAAGAGAAUUUCCCUUUAGCUUAGCAAUGUGUCGGAAUGGCUCUUGCAAAGAUUGGAUCUGAGAGGGGGAAAAAGGGGGAACCUUCUUUCCUGGAGCAAUCCUGCACACACUUUGCAGCUGCCUCUGCCUUCAACCUUCUGCAGCUCGGGGAAAAGUUACAAAAAAAAAUUUGAUAACAAUUGUUGCUGCUGUAGGAUCUCGAUUUUUAAAAAUUAUUAUUUUUUACUAAUUUUUUUUAAACUUUCCCAUCUCUUCUGGUCCGUUUGGAAAGCGUUGCAGAGCAGGUACAGUCCCAGAGAUCCAGACUAUCUGGGGCUAACGGGGAGUGAGUGGAGAUGUGUGAUUUUCUGCCCUCUAAGAACUUUAUGCUCAGAGAACCAAAAUCUGCUUCUGGGAUGAAAAGAAACUGUAACUUCUGCUUCUCAGGGCUGUGGGAGUCUUGUCCCUCCUGGAACUUCUGGACUGGUGGGCACAGCUGCAUUUGUGGGAAGAGAAGCUAUAUGGAGAACCAGGGGCAAGGCUGAAGGCAGGAUUCAAGUCUUCACUCCACAUGUGCUGUACCAGCAUCGAGGAGAUGUCAUGGUGGGAGCUCAUCCCAAUGCUGGAAGAGACUCUGUGGGCCUCCCAGACCAUCUUCAUUCAUGUUGUGGAUCCAAAUCAUCACUUACCCAGAGAUCAGCUUGUGGUGCUGUCCUGCUUGAAAGUGGAAGGGUCCAGAAGUGCUCUGGUCCAGCUACGGGGUGGUGAUGAACAAGAUGAGAGCUUGGACACGUCUGCUCCAGCAUGGAGCAGGGAAUUACUGCUCUUCCCCACUGACAUGAAGUCAAGCAGAGAAAGAACUGGGAGCCAACAGCCACAGGACCAGGACUUUCACCUCGGAUGAAUCAUCAGGCUCAAGUCAAAAGCUCACCAGGUGAAAGAGUUGUAAAAGUGGAGGUUCCCACAGACCAAAAAGCUCUGUUGUGGAGUAGGAUUGGGUCUCAACAGAUUUUAUACAGCAUGCCUCAAAAAAAAAAAAGGCCCUCCUCCAAAGCAGUCUUUGAACCUGCCCCCCGUUAUAAGCACAGCUUGCAGAAAGGAAAGAGAAAAUGGCAAAAUCUCAUGCCUGGAGCAUUUGGACCAAGUGCAAAGCCCUAAGAAAGGCAGCCAUCCUGAGAGCUUGAGAGAAUGUUUAAGCUCUGGAUGUGGGCAUCUGAUUGAAAGAAUGUUACCACAACUUCAUGAAUUGCCUGUUCUUCAGCUGAGUCCCAGAAAUUCACCUCAUAACCGAGGCUGGGUGUGUGCUUCAGUCCUCAGAGCUACAACUACCUAAAAAGCCAGUCCUGACUUCACAUCAUCAUGCUCCUAGGACAUCCCAGCCAAAGGUACACUGCUUGCAGAUCAGACAUCAGCAAGCUGGAUGAGCCAACAAGCCGUGCAAAAGAAAACCCUGUGAAUGUAAAGAGACUGAGUGGAGUGAUAAAAACCCAUCUCUGCAAGAUCUGUGUGAGGAGGACUUGGUCACAAGAGUGAUGCUGCUCCUGUGAAGAAACAUUUGCAGGCUCCAACCCCCAAUAACACAUGUGAAGCAGCUGAGCAGAAAAAAAUAUCCUGCAGGCUUCAGGGAGACACACCCACAGGCAGACCCGGCACUGAGGAUGGAUAUCCAGCCCCAGCCCCAGCCCUGACCAAAUGCCCCAAGGUGACUGCUGGAAUGCUGAAAUGUGCUUUUUUUAGCUGCUACCAAGGAGCCCAGCCCAGGUAUGGGCAAAUUAGGUCACCUGCAAAUGAAGUGCAUUUUUAAUGUGAUUGCAAAAUUACAGGAGGUAGAUUGCAAACAUCCCAAUAUUUGCUGUUCCUCUUCUUAAUGUAGUCUGAUUUUUAUUUACUCUUUCUCCUGCAUCAGUCAGGUUUUAUUGGAAGGAGAAGGAAGGAGAACAUGUGAGUUGAGUAAGAUGAACUACUGCCUCAUAGUGAACCUUAAUCAGUCUCUAAACCACCCUUGGAUUCCUCCAGCCAUUCUGGGUUAUCCCCUCCUUAUUAAUAAAAAGUGGCCAUCAGGAGUAAUUUUUUUCAGCAUGACGAACACUGAUAUUUCUAUUUUACACUGUAAAAAAAACCAACAGCUUUCAAGUCACCCCUGUUCAUAAUUUCACUCUCUGUUCAGCGUCAAUGUGAAGAAUAUCACAAGUCACAGAGCCUGACACAGUUCCUUUGCCUGGUGCUCCUCUCCGCAGGCAUCCCUCACCAAAAGUCCUCUCUGAAAUCAAGGAGAUCCACAUGGACAACAGAUGACCACCCAUAUGUGUGACCCAGCUUUAAAAUAACCAGAAUAAUUUUCCUAAAUGGCUCAGGUAAUUUCUCCUCAAAUAUUUCAUGGCUGUGCAAUGUCUUUUCUUAGCCCCAUGAUGUAUGAAUUACCCAGAUCACUCUCCAUGUUCGGUCUCCUGAACCUCACAUCAGGUUUGCCACAACCAUGUCCCAGUGUGAGCUCUGGGUGCCUGAAAACAUUGGUGCUGCUGCAAUCGGGACCUCCUCCUAAACCUAAACCUCACCCCUGUUACCUGGCCACAGAAUAUUCUGUCACAGAAUCAUAGAAGCAUUGGAUGGAUCGGGUUAGAAGGGACCUUAAAGAUCACCUCGUUCCAACCCCCAGCUAAAAUCACACCCCACCAACAGUGGGGACCGCACUAGGCGAAGAGAGAAACACUUUUCAGCAUCUGCGUUCACCAUUUUAAUUGACUUCUUUCAUUUGCUCCCCUCCUUUGCCCUCCAAUAGUGAGCAUUCUCGCCGCUGUGGUAACCCCCAGGAAAAAAAACAAAAACAAACCAAACAAAACCAAAACCAACAAACAACAGUUGUGCUAAAUGAGAUUUUUAUGUGUGGGUGUUUAAGUAUCCGCGUGAAGCAAAUUUCUACCCUCUUCUCAUCAAAAAGGGAACGAGACCGUGUGAGUGAUGUGACCAAUUACCGCCGAGCACCCCAGAGCAGCUUCUGAAUAUUCACGUCCAAUUGCUCGUUUGGUGGAACAAUUGGUUUGAACAGUUUGAAAAGGCAAUGAUGUCAAAUGUGCGGCGUGAUUAAACGCAGCGAAAUUACCAGCCGUUCAGCUGAAAAAGAAGCUCAGUUUCCUUCCCAGGGUAAUUCUCCUCUCGAAUUUUGCUCUGAUGGGAGCAGCAAACACCCGGAUCUGUCAGGGGGAGAGGUGCAGCUGAGUUUUGGAGGCAGCAUGGACCGGGAUGCACAUGGGAGCUUUGCUAAGGGUGCACCAAGCCAAAAGCUUCCUCUUCACCUUCCUCUUCCUGCAGAACCACACCUCCACCCCAGCGAGAGCAGGGCAGAGGUGUAUUUUGCAAGCACACCCCGGUGCAAACGUGAUUUGAAUCAAAGAUUUUCAGGGCCAAGUUAUCCGUGAGUUGAAUUGUCCCGAGAACCAGCAAAGGCUACGUGUGUUCCAUCAAUACCAGCCCCAUUUGGGAGCUUCCUGCACAGGCAAGGAACACCCUAAACCCACAGUCCAGCUGUUUGAUUCAUGCCUGUUUCUGUCAUCACUGAAAAUGGCCUGUAGUUAUAAAAAAUAGACCAUUAAUUCUGCCAUCCUGUUUUAAAAAUGCCUCUACCACAUAUCACACUUCAGUUCUGUGACUGACUCGUACAGAUCCAAGCAUUGGGAGACAGAGCAUUUUUUGUUGCAGUACACAGAGCAGUGUGUGCUUCCCAGAUGGCAGAAGGGAGCUGGGAGCAUCCGUGAGGAGGAAAGAAGUAAUGCAUCCUGCAGGAUCACAUCUUUUGCUGAGCCCUCGUCAGGGAGAGGGCCACAGGAGCACUGCCCACCUCCAGCUGCUCAGGUCUGGGCCCGCCUCUGGAAUCAAUUUCUCUCCUCCUGGCCUCCCUUUGGGGAAGGUGAUUGUUCACAUUAUUGUAAAAAAAAAACCACCAUUUUUUUUCUUAACAAACAACUUCCAGACAUUUUGUGAAUAUGCAAAAGGCUUCUUGAUGUAGAAGGCUAAAAUGAUGAAAUAACCUUUAUAAAAUCCUCCCUGAAACUAGGGAACUUUUUCUUUUCCAUCCGUUCUUCCUGUUUCCUACCCAGAGAUCCGAACUAAUUUUCCUUAUCCAUAGGCUCCCCCCAUGCCCUCAAAAAAAAAAAAAAAAAAAAAAAAAAAAAAAAAAAAAGAGAGAGAGAGAGAGAGAAGGGGGGAGACUGUAUUCACUAAUUAUACAUCCUGAAAAGAAUUUGGUUCAGUGUAAGAUGAUCCUAGUGAUAUGCUAAUCCCUUUUUCUGCUUGGUGCAGCCUGAAGCCUGUGUCUAACAUUUUUUUCAACUGUAUGACAAUAAAAGUUGUGGCAACAAAAGGAAUAAAUGGGCAGCUAAAGAAGGUAUAGCCGAAACACAUGGCAGACCAGUUCUCUCCUCUCCUUCUGGCUGCUCUUUUGUAGGCUCUGGUUUGGUAUCCUCAAGUCAAUAGCCGAAAGCCAGCCACCUUAGCAACUUAGUAUGACACCCAAGCCCUCUCUCUUUACAUUCAUGAAUAGUCAGCAAGCAGCAGACAAAAUAGAACUAAUCUUUUUUGACAGAAUUGUUCAAUUUUAGAGGAAAGGCUUUUGAGGCACCUUCCAUACAUUUGCAGAAUAUGAGACAACAAUGGCCACCACCACAUUUUGACAAAAGGACGACCAGGGGUGUGAGCGUGCACACGCACCACGGCCGUCAACAGAAAAUAUUGCAGCCAAGUUCAAGCCACCGCAGGAUGUGCCCAUUGUUAGGGGGAAGGCUGGCAGGCAAGAAAAUAAGUAAGUAAAUAAAUAAAUAAAUAUUUAAAAAACCCCCAAAACUCCAUUGUUUUGUUGCCGACUAUUAAACAUACACAUCCCGAUAAUGUGUGAUUAGGGUUAUUUGUCUUGAUUAACCCAAGUUAAGAGAGCUGAUUAAUAUCCACUCUCUAAUUUCCUGUCAUAGGCUGAUAACUUCAUCCUUUUUUUUCUUUUUUUUUUUUCUUUUGGACCAAUGAAUCUUAUUGCCAAAUGCAUUCAAUCCCGCAGGUUCUCGCCUGCAUUUAAAAGCUGGUUUUGCCAUUUCGAAAUCCUGUAACGCAGCAGCCACUCACAAGUCCAGGGUGUGUAGGGAAGGGCAUUCCCGCUUUUCCCUUCUCUCCUCUCCAUUUAAUACAAGCCUAUCGCUAUCUCCAAAGACAGAAAGCAGGGAAGAGGUAAUAAUAAUAAUAAUAAUAAUAAUAAUAAUAAUAGUAAUGAUAAUAAUAACAAUAAUAAUAAAUGCACCCAGUCUGUGGGCAAAACCAGAAGUUAGCAACAUGGUCCAUGCAGCUGCAACACUGCAUUUAAAAUUCAGUUUACUCCUAGGAAGAGGGCUAAUCCUGCCCCUGUAAUUCCCUACAGCCAAAAUGUACCCCCCUCCCUGAGUGACAGUGCAAUGCAAAGACACUCGCACGCUUAUCUUCCCCAACCAGAUGGCCGACUUGGAUCAAUGCACACACGCCACGAUCAAUGGGAGCGAUAAAGAAUUAGGAAAACAGUGGUACAUGCUCCCAGAAAGCUUGUACACUGCAUAAUUAUUUUAUGAUUCUACACAUGGCUACAUGUGAUACUGGAGUCAAGAAGGAAAAGGAUAAUUAGAGAGCCAGAAAGCACCCGUACUGCACUACACACUUUGUCAGUCAGCAGUUCCCACUCGGCUCAACUCACCGCCGUUAUCUCCUCUCCUGCCCCCUUGCAAACGAAUUUAGGGAAUAUGUAAAAUAUGAGGGGGAGGCGGCUUCUGGGUUACCGGGACGGGAUACGGGAGAUUAUCGUGUCCUGUGAUACUACAGCAAAAGUUUUUUGUGCGCGGGGUGGGGCAGGACUGUGCGAGCACCGCCUGGGGAGCGGAGCCGGGGGUGGCAUCGUGGGGCACCCCGAACCCUUCCAGGGCUUUGUUGGGAGAGGUACACAUCCACAUCCAGACACUAAAACACAGCCGCAUGGGUUACUCUGUGGGUUUGGGGGUUUUUUCCCCCCUCCUUUCCUCCCAGCAGCGAUUUUGUGAUUGGCUCCUUGUAUCCAGCCUGCUUUGCCACCACACUGAAGGGAAGAGAAGGGGAGGGGGCAGGAAAGAGCUGCCCUCCUCCCCCCGCCCCCGCACUGACCGAACGACGCAGAAUAACCAUCAAAGCGCUGGAUGGUCACGACUGCGAAUCUGGAUGGCAAAGAGCACAUGACCGAGAUGAGGGAGCAGAACAAUGCCAGGCGGAACGCUGCCCUCGGUGGCAAGGCGGGCAGUGAGGAGGAAUCACAGCGCCAAGCGCUUCGCAGAAACACCUCGUCACCGCCUGACGCCACCGAGCCGCCAACACGUCCUCGCCCUGCCUGCACCAGUGCAACACCACCCUCUAAUUGCUGCUGGGAGCGCAGAGGGGACAAGGAGGUGCGAGGCACCCUUCUCCCCGCGAGUGCCACCCGGACAGGAGCUUCCUGCUGGCCAUCAAGCUGGUGGUGGGACCUGGGCUCGUGGCAUGGUGAGAGAGGGGUAGGAAAGUCUCAAAAUGGGUUGUGUAGGCUUCACUCACCAAUCAGCUGAGGAGCUGGGGGUGUGAUGGAGAGCUGGAGCUCUGGGUGGAAUGGGGCAGUCACCACUGUCUCUUCUGCAGCUGCAGAGGUGUUGCCUUUGAAGACCAUGGUCCAGAGAUACCUGCCCAGGUCCUUCUGCAGGGAUGUGGCAGAGAGGCUCACCCCACAUCCCCUCAUCCCUGUCCCAGCACAAACCAGGGCCAAACAGCACUUUUGAAUGAAUAAAUGAACAGACACUGCAGUGGUGACAUGUUUGGAAAUGUCCAUUUUAAACAUGAGGUUUUAAAUUUGGGGUCUCUCCUGCUGACAUUUGACUUGAGUCAAGACCAAAGCCCAGAGCCUUUGUCCUGACAUGUGGAGCAAAACAUCUCUGACGUGCACUCAAAGUCACCCCAAAAUCAUCUGCACUUCAUUUGUCUCUUACCCUCAACACAACUCACCAGACAGGCAAAGGCCCAUCAAACUGCAGCAGGUUCAUGAGUAGAAACCACCACUAUGGACCUGUCUGCGAGGCCAGAGAGGUGAUCACAAACACCCCACAUGCAACAAGUCACUCACUGAGUUGGUGACUGCAGCUCCAGCCGUGAACACACAUCUCUGCUGGUGGCAUCUGUGAGGAGGGGGAGCUGAUGCUUAGAGAUGCCUAAUCAAGGUGCACUUGCUCAAGGGACCACUUUGAUUGGGAUUUAUAAAUCCUGGAGGAUUUGUAGUCCUGGCCAGCUGUGCAGGGGAUUCCACCUGCUAUAACCAGCCUGCUCUGAUGGGUGUGUGACCUUUGCUGGUGUAGAUGUCACUGUCACAGCAGCAUUGUUCCACCUGAGCAGGUGUGCAUUGACCAAAGUCUUGGAGAGACAGAUCUCUCAAAGAGGUGGACAGUGUGGAAGUCAAGUGCCUGUUUCAGCUUCUUAAUCAAAAUGUGUCUAUGAAAAACAAAAUCCAACUUUUUGGACAGAUACAAAAUUUUUGUUCGUGCUUCUGUUUCUUUUGAUACUUUACAGCUAUGUAUGGAAAACCCCUACAGUAUUUCCUUCCUUUUAAAAUUGCCAUUCUUGGGUAAAAGUUUUAUUAAAGAUGUAUCUCAAAUGGAAUAUUUAUCCUAGAAACAAAAAACCCCUCAGUUUUAGUUCUCAAAGUUCUUCCCCUUUUUUUAUGGUCAAAUAAAGACAGGCGCAUCAGAUAGAAAAGGGAAUUAUUUCCAAAAUUUCUCAUGAGAAAUAA
Long non-coding RNA from Corvus hawaiiensis (hawaiian crow), 8086 nucleotides. RefSeq lists it as uncharacterized. The transcript has 8 exons. NCBI's taxonomy places the organism in Eukaryota, Metazoa, Chordata, Aves, Passeriformes, Corvidae. The record is from RefSeq and is a predicted model, not a curated record.